AAAUGUUUGUUGGAAAUUUCUGCAAACAAGUAGGAAAAGCAGUAAAGGUAUUUAAAAUAGAUUAUAAAAAAACUUGUGAUAUAAAGUUAGAAAAAUAAGGAGGAUGAGGGAGAGAGAGAGAAAGCAAGAUUGAACCAUAUCUGGAACUGACGUGUCUCAGAGCUGAAUUCCUACUUUAAUACAACACCUGUGGAUCAACACAGUCCAAAGCAAAGGUCGAAAGUCGAGAAAUAUCAUAUCUUGCACAUAUAUAUAUCAUAAGGAGAAUCAAAUCUUAAUCGGCAGAACAGAGAGAAGGUUCUUCAUAUGAGACAAAUAGGUUGAACAUCCAGUGGCAGACGAAAGUUUACCGGACACUCUGUUUAGAAUUGUCAUAUAAACACAAUCAUGACGAGGGGAGAACAUACUCGUAUUCAAAGCGCUUUCUUCUACAAGGAAUCUUUUUGAGAAAAAAACAAAUCAGCCGAUUACCGAAACCCUGGCAAGAGAAAACACAAUCCAAACGCAAAACCCAUGUUAAUAAACCACUUGUUAAUGCAUACGAAAACCACACCUAAUACCUCGCCGGAUCAAAAUUACCAAAAUAAAACCAAUUCAGAAUCACAAUCAGACGAACGACCCCGAAUCCAUGACGAUCCAAUUGUCAAACCGGCAAAAUAACCCCAAAUAAAAUCAAAUCAGGACCACAAUCAGACGGUAUCGCGAAAGAGAAGAAAAAACACGCGACGGAUAAUCAUUGAAUUGAAUUGCGCAGGUUUCAUAGCGACGAUGAUACAUAUAAUCUAGAAAAACGGAGACGACAAAUAAACAAAAGCAAUAAUCAAACAAAACUCUAAAAUCCGCAGAUAACCAACAAAGACGAGAGACGAAGGAAUGAGUUACGGUUGUAGGAGGGGACGGGUAUUUAUAGAAGAGUCGGUGUUGAGUGGACGGCUGAGAUUAAUCGGAUCAAAGAUACCAAAUGGUUGGACAACCACCGUCAUUUUUGUCGCAAGUUUCUGCAAAUAGAAUUUGAAAUGUAAAAAAUAAUAGAUUAUGGAGGGAUUCAUAAGAAUAUAAAAUUUGGCAUCACUAUCGUACUCACCACCACUCGUUGUUCAACACAACCCAAAUCAUACUAUGUAGCAACCGAACUUCUCAACACAUAACACGACAUUGCCAUACAAGCAAAUUCACGAAAAGGCGGCGAAAAGCCCAAAGCUCGAAACACUUUCCUUUUUCCAGAAAUCCUAUGACCGCGCGGAAAACAAAAUCAAACCAGCCAACAACCAGACCAGGAUGGGAAAAUAUGAACCAAAUCCAAACCACGGGAUAUUAAAUUGCAUAUCACUCCAUCACCAAACAUCAUAAAUACCUUGCCGGAUCAAUUAUCAUUCAUAGAAGACCUUGACAGCACCACAGAGAAAAGAAACAUAUAAGACACGCUCCCGAUAAUUAGACUGUAAGACCAGCAAAACCACCCAAAUCAGAACCACAAACAGAAAGGCACGAAAGAGCUUUAGAUAAAACACAAGUUAGAUUAUAUUCCCCAUUAAGUAUCCAUCACAUCUGUAGCUUUACAUAAGAGACUCUGAAGCUCAUUUUCCAACGGUUUGCAAAGGGUCCAACGAUAUAUGUAAAAUCAGAUUCAACAUUCCUAUAGCACAUGUAGUUUCAGAUAUUAAAAUUGAACUAAGACACUUCCCUUAAGCCACAGAAGAAAGGUACUGACUGGUAGGACAGGUAAAUAAAUUAUCUUUCCGCGUAGUCAAUAGGCCAGAGUAAUGUAGAUGGAACUAGCAAAAACUUUCUUUAAACAGAAGGCCCACCAUCAUUUUUGUAGCAAAUGUCUGUAGACAGAGAGGAAAAGAAGAACAGGGGAUUUGAAGAUUGAUUUGAAAGUAAUAUGACCGUAUAAAGUAGUAAUAUGAAAAUUGAGGGAGCCGUUAGAAAAUACUCUCUCAAAGAAUCUGAGACGCAUCUCACUAAGCCACUACCUGCUGCCGAUCAACACAUUUUGCAACCAGAAGCAAGAAGGUUUUCAUGAGAUAAAUAAAUCAGAAAUUAAAUUAUCUUCCCCGUCAUGUUGUCCGUUAAUCAGACUCAACCUCAGAUCCAACUGCACUAAUCCAUCUUUUGCUGAAGCAAUGGGUUAUCCUGUCCAAAGAUGGAACUUCAGCAGACCCCCUAAAAUACACAAACAAAAGUUACCAAAUGGGAGGACAUCCACCAUCAAUUUUCGAGAGGAAAAGCAAAACCCGGAUAAGGAGAAAAUACUCAAACUUGAAGCUGUUUCUUCUACCAAAAAUCAUAUUUUAACCAUUUCCUUCCAAGUCUAUGCCAUCUCGUAAAAGAAAACCAAACCAACGGACAAGAGAAAUCAUAAUCCAAACCCACACAAUCGAAAAAUAGACAAAAUAGUGGCCGAUAAGGAAACAUCAUACCACAUGCCAUAUCAAAAUCACCCAAAUAGAUUUGAAAACAUAUGGUCAUAUUUCAAAAUUGAAUGAGAAGGAUGAUGAUUACAUAAGAAUAUACAAUCUGGAACUGACAAAAACUCACUGAUCGAUAAGCUAAUUAAAUCACAAAAUAAAUUAUCUUGCCAUCAUCAGAUCCAACCGAGAUCUCUAGCUUAAGCAAUUGGCGAUCCUAUCCACAGUAUUCAGUUGUACUUAAGCUCCUUAUCCAGGUAUACAUACGCUCUAGUAAAAUCAGAUCCUCAUUCUACUUGCACAGUUAGCUUAGCUCCAUAAAUAAACAUGAAACACAACCAACAAAACAGAAAGUACCAAAUAGUAAUAAAGUAGUAAAGCAGUAAAGGGAUUUAAAAGAUACAUUAAAAAAAUUGUGAUAUAAAGUUAUAAAGUUAGAAAAAUAAGGAGAGAGAGAGAGAGAGAGAGAGAGAGAGAGAGAGAGAGAGAGAGAGAUUGAAAUAUCUGGAACUGACGGGAGUUUCAGAGCUGAGUUCCUACUUUAUUACCACAACUGCGGAUCAACACAGUCGAAAGCAACGGUUGAAGGUCAAGAAAUAUCAUAUUGCACAUAUAUAUCAUAAGGAGAAUCAAAGAGAGGUUCUUCAGAUGAGACAAAUAG
Molecule: long non-coding RNA, 3072 nt
Filed under: Erythranthe guttata (spotted monkey flower)
Lineage: Eukaryota; Viridiplantae; Streptophyta; Magnoliopsida; Lamiales; Phrymaceae
Description: long non-coding RNA (EGUT_LNC003230)
Source: RNAcentral